RNAcentral lists this ribosomal RNA (490 nucleotides) under uncultured bacterium. RNAcentral's name for it is "partial 16S ribosomal RNA". It matches the Rfam family "Bacterial small subunit ribosomal RNA", at positions 30 to 507 of the family's 1533-position model. The record is from RNAcentral.
AUUGAACGCUGGCGGCAGGCCUAACACAUGCAAGUCGAACGGUAACAGGGAUCAGCUUGCUGAUUCGCUGACGAGUGGCGGACGGGUGAGUAAUGUCUGGGAAACUGCCUGAUGGAAGGGGAUAACUACUGGAAACGGUAGCUAAUACCGCAUAACGUCGCAAGACCAAAGAGGGGGACCUUCGGGCCUCUUGCCAUCGGAUGUGCCCAGAUGGGAUUAGCUAGUAGGUGGGGUAACGGCUCACCUAGGCGACGAUCCCUAGCUGGUCUGAGAGGAUGACCAGCCACACUGGAACUGAGACACGGUCCAGACUCCUACGGGAGGCAGCAGUGGGGAAUAUUGCACAAUGGGCGCAAGCCUGAUGCAGCCAUGCCGCGUGUAUGAAGAAGGCCUUCGGGUUGUAAAGUACUUUCAGCGGGGAGGAAGGGAGUAAAGUUAAUACCUUUGCUCAUUGACGUUACCCGCAGAAGAAGCACCGGCUAACUCCGUG